This 4979-nucleotide long non-coding RNA is filed under the name Sus scrofa (pig). RNAcentral's name for it is "lncRNA (ENSSSCG00000053950.1)". The record is from RNAcentral. Lineage: Eukaryota; Metazoa; Chordata; Mammalia; Artiodactyla; Suidae.
ACAGCAGCGACCCAAGCUGCUGCAGCAACAACGCACUGUCCUUAACCCACUGCGCCACAAGAGAGCUCCUGGAAUUAUUUUUCUUAUGUUGGAAGAACUCCUUUUAGCAUUUCUUCUAGAGUGCGUGCACAAGUAACUAAUUCUCUCUAAACAUUUAUUUGCCUAAACAUUUCUUAUUGUUUGGGCACUUCUUCAGUUCACCUUCAUUUCUGAAGCAUAUUUUCACUGGAUGUGGAAUUCCGGGUUGGCAGUUAUUGUCUUUCGGCUCAUUAACGAUCUUAUUCUUUUUUCUUCUUCUUUCUAUCCUUUCUCGCAAAAAUUCAGCUGUUGAUUCCUUGGUGCUUUUGGAAAGAAUGAGUCUUUCUUUUUUUCUCUAGAUACUUUUAAGAUUCCUCUUUGUUUUAAAUUUUUAACAGUUUCACUAUGCUGUGCCUGGCUGUGGCUUUCUUGGUAUAUGUCUAAUUUGGGGUUCAUUCUCUCUUUCCUUUUGUUCUGAGACCCUAAUUAUAUGAUGUUAAACAUUUUUAACAUGUCUUUUACGUUAUUUUCUGUAUUUUCUAUUUUCCCCCCUGCUCCGUACAUAUAAAAUGAGCAAUUACAAAUACCCCCCUUGUCAAUGUGGCACCCACAAGCAUCUCUUAGACCGAUCCUUAAUCUCCAAAUAAAGACAAUCACAAGGUUAUAAUUCUACUGAAUAUGAUACAACAAUUCUGCAUACAACUGAAAACACACUAUAACUCCUUUCCCAGAAGAGGUGGUAAAGUCCUCGAGUGAUGUUUACAUGUCUCUUUGAUCUCCUUUAACUUAAAAAUGUGGUUGAAAAUUAGCAGUACUUACAUACUAUGAUAUAAAGUCCAUACAUCUUGUGUUACACAAUAAGAGAAUAAGAGAGGGAAGAAAACAAAGACAUCCUCUAUACACACGGACAAACAUAUUCAUAACACAGUAAGGAAGAAAUUCUUACGAUAGUUGCAGUCCUUAUUUCUGUACUGGCCAUGUGGUUGUAGCCCAUGUUAGGACUACCUUCUUCUCCUGCCUUUUUUGUAUUUCUUUUGCCUUCAGCGAGCACCUCAGCUGGUCAUGAUUCUGUAGCUGGUGGGGUGACCCAGGUCUUUAUUCCUGAAGGGUCUGGGCCAUUAGCAUCCUCCCUGGGCUCGGGGGGUUGUAGUUUUCCAUUGUCCUUAAUCACAGGGCAUGGUCAUGCUAAGAGAAGCCUUAAGGGAUCUCCUGCAGAGCAGCCAUCCAAUUUCCCCUUGGUAGUCAGGAUCCAUCACCCCAGUUAGCGCAAGUACAGUAACUCCUUUCUUUGCCUACUGAUUCAGAGGCAUGAGGAGUCCACAAUGACCAGGUGGCUGUCUUAGCUCCCCGCUCAAUGGAAUCAUUGUUGUGUCUCUGGGUAGAAACAUUCUUCCCAUGGAACUGAGCCCUCUAGGCCAACAGAGCAUACUCUUGCAGAAGCAGGAAACAAACAUUUUGCUAGUGGGUCACCAGGGGUAACAACAGUAAGUGGUGCCACUCCCCUUUCCUCCCCUUGAUUCCUGGACCUGUGAAUCCUGGCUCUGGGGAAGGCAGCCCCAUAUUUGGGAGGUUACACCCUUCUUGAGAAACCUUGCUCUAACACGGCAAGAUAUUGCUGCCCAGCUAGUGCCAGAAUUAAGUCUUCAAAAGGCCAUUCCACUCGUCUGCCAAACCAGCUGCUUCAGGAUGGUGGGCAACACAGUGAGACCAGUGAUGUCCAAGAGCACGGGCCCCUGGCCACACCACUUUUGCUGUGAAGUGAGUCCCUAGGUCAGAAGUGAUGCUGUGUGAAUGAUGUGUAAGGCCUUCUCUUGGUCCGCAGAUGGUAGUUCAGGCUGAAGCAGUGUGUGCAGGGAAUGAAAAUUCAUGUUCAGAGCAAGUGUCUGUUUCAGUAAGAACAAGACGUCACCCCUUGUGUAUUGGAAGCAGUUAAGUGUAAUCAACGUGCCAUCGAGUAGCUGGUGUCACCCUGGGGAACAGGGCCAUCGCAAGUACUGAGUGUUGGUCUCUGCUGCUGGCACAUUGGGCAGUCAGUGGUGGCAGUAGCUAGUUUGGCAUGGUGAAUGGAUGCCCUUGUUGUUGAGCCCACGCAUAACUCCAUCCCUGCCACCAUGGCUACUUGGUUCACGAGCGCAUUGGUGAUAGGGGGUCUCCACAGUAGCUGACUGGUAUCCACACAACUGGUCAUCCUAUCCCCUUGAUUACUAAAGUCUUCUCUGAAGUCAUCACCUGGGAUAAAAAUAUCUUUACAUUUUUUACCUAUUUAGAGAGAUCUGUCCACAUACCUCUUUGCCAGAUCACCACAUUUCCUUGUCACCAAGGUUCCAAUGAUGUUCCUUCCAAGUUCCUGCCCGUGUAACCAACCCAUUCGCCACAGCUCAUGAAUCAGUACAUGAUUGCAUGUCUGGCCAUUUUUCCUUCCGAGCAAAAUGAAUGACCAGAUGCACUGCUAAAAGUUCUGCCCACUGGGAAAACUUCCUUUCACCACUCCUUCAGGGAUGCUCCAAAGGGGGCCUGCAGCUCUGCAGCUGUCCACUUCCGGAGGUGCCUGCACAUCUGCAGAACUAUCCACAAACCAGGCCUAAGUCUUCUCUUCCUCUGCCAGCUGAUGGUAGGAUCUCCAAUUCGACCCCUAGCCUGGGAACCUCCCUAUGCCAUGGGCAUGACCCUAAAAAAAAAAAAAAAAAAAAUACCUAAAAGUUGAAAUGCCUCCUUGGUCCAUGGGCUGCAGAAUGGAUGCUGUGUUAGCAGCAGGCAUGAAAACAACACUAAUCUCACUGUACAUCUCCAUCAGAGCUCCUGGGUGACCAGGUGCCCUGUCAAUGAGCAAUCAUAUAUUUAAAUUUUAUUGAAGUAUGCUUGAUUUGCAAGGGUGUGUUCAUUUCUGCUUUACAGCACAGUGAUUCAGUUACACAUGUGUUUUCUUUUCCAUUAUGGUUUAUUACAUGAUAUUGAAUACAGUUCCCUAUGAUAUACAAUAGAACCGUAUUGUUUAGAGCAGUAAUAUUUUGAAAGGAAUCUUCUUUUUUUCUGAACGGUAGGUCUCAAUAGUGAGCUUAACAUAUACAGUAAACCAUGCGGAAGACAGAUGUGCUGUGCCCCAGGCCUUGCUGUUCCAUUUAUAGACUCAUCAGAGUAGACGGAGCAUAAUUCUUAAGGACCGUAGGAUUUUCAGGGCCCUCGUAAAUGAGCGUUGGCUUCAGCUUAAAGUCACAAGUUGCAUUUGCCCCUAAGAAGAAAGUCAGCCUAUCCUCUGAAGCUCUGAAGCCAGGCAUUGACUUCUCCUCUCUCACUGUGAAAGUGCUAGAUGGCAUCUUCUUCCAAUAGAAGGUUGUUUCAUCUAUAGUGAUAAUCCAUUGUUUAGUGUAGCCACCUUCGUCAAUGAUCUUAGCUAGAUCUCCUGGAUAACUAGCUGUAGCUUCUCCCUCAGCACCUGCUACUUCAUCUUGUACUUUCAUGUUAUGGAGAUGUCUUCUUUCCUUAAACCUCAUGAGCCACCCUCUGCUGGCUUCAAACAUUUCUUCUGCAGCUUCCUCGCCUCUCUCAGCCUCCGUGGAAUUGAAGCUGUGGAUUAGGCUUUGGCUGAAGGAAAUGCUGUGACUGGUUUGACCUUCUAUUCAAAUCACUAAAACUUUCUCCAUAUCAAUAAUAAGGCUGGGUAGCUUCCUUAUCACUUGUGUGUUCACUGCAGUAACACUCAAUUUCCUUCAAGAGCGUUUUCUUUGCAUUCACAGCUUUGUUAACUGUUUGGCACUAGAGGCCUAGUUUUUGGCCUGUCUCAGCUUUGGACAUGCCUUCCUUACUAAGAUUAAUUAUUUCUAGCUUUUGACUUAAAAUGAGAGAUGCGUGGAGUUCCCGUCGUGGCGCAGUGGUUAACGUAUCCAACUAGGAACCAUGAGGUUGUGGGUUCGAUCCCUGCCCUUGCUCAGUGGGUGAAUGAUCCAGCGUUGCCAUGAGCUGUGGUGUAGGUCACAGACGCAGCUCAGAUCCCGUGUUGCUGUGGCUCUGGUGUAGGCUGGUGGCUACAGCUCCGAUUAGGCCCCUAGCCUGGGAACCUCCAUAUGCCACAGGUGUGCCCCUAGAAAAGGCAAAACAAAAACCAAAACAAAAGAUCACUGACCUUAGGUCACUGUAACAAAUAUAAUAAAAACGAAAAUGUCAGACCUAUUGCAAGAAGUACCAAAAUAUGACACAGAGAGACAGAGGGAGCAAAUGCUAUUGGAAGAAUGGUGCCAGUAGACUUGCUUGAUACAGAGUUGCUGCAAUCCUUCAAUCUAUAAAAAAAGUACAAACUAUUUAUUGCCUUUGGAAUGGAUAAGCAAUGAGAUCUUGCCAUAUAGCACUGGGAACUAUAUCUAGUCACUUAUGAUGGAGCAUGAUGGAAGAUAAUGUGAGAAAAAGAAUGUGUAUAUAUAUAUGUGUGUGUGUGGGUGUGUGUGACUGGGUCACCUUGCUGUACAGUAGAGAAUUGACAGAACACAGUAAACCAGUUAUAAUGGAAAAAAUAAAAAUCACUUUAAAAAAGUUAAAAAAAUAUAAUACCUGUGAAGUACAAUAAAACAAGGUAUGCCUGUAUGGAGGUGAGAUGCUGAAAAGAAAGCAGUGGCUAGGAAGCUGGAAAACCAAGCAGAGCUUUUGGUAAAAUUUAGACUUUGAUUUAAAAUCCAGGAAGGGUUACAGUCAAUGAAGGGCAAAUUGGAGAUAGACACCCUCUCAAAAUACUGAACACAAGAUUAGACUCCUGGAGUUCCCAUCAUGGUGCAGAGGAAAGGAAUCCGACUAGGAACCAUGAGGUUGCAGGUUCAAUCCCUGGCUUCACUCAGUGGGUUAAGGAUCCAGCAUUGCCGUGAGCCGUGGUGUAGGUCGCAGACAUGGCUCGGAUCUGGCGUUGGUGUGGCUGUGGUGUAGGCCGACAGCUGGACCCCUAGCCUGGGAACCUCCAUAUGCCGAAGGUGCAGCCC